This 237-nucleotide unclassified non-coding RNA is filed under the name Hevea brasiliensis (rubber tree). The record is from RNAcentral. Lineage: Eukaryota; Viridiplantae; Streptophyta; Magnoliopsida; Malpighiales; Euphorbiaceae.
CAGAAAAAGGGGCUUCGCUUUCAGAAGCCAUGGCUAACAGUAACGCACCAGAAACAACAACAGUAGAGGAGUCUCGGUCGUUCUUCGGCCUCCCUUGGCCCGAUCUCAACGACGGCUUGUACUACAGCGAUGCCGUUUCUUCCUCCGAUUCUGAAUUGACACUUAUCGAAUUCUACUCUGGCAAGUAUAAGAAUUCAGCUCCAUUACAGGGUUGGUUGCAGCGAAUCCACAAUGGAC